GCCAGGAGUGGUGGCGCAUGCCUGUAAUCCCAGCAGCUCGGGAGGCUGAGGCAGGAGGAUCACAAAUUCAAGACCAACUCAGCAACUUAGCAAGACUCUGUUUCAA
RNAcentral lists this small RNA (106 nucleotides) under Marmota monax (woodchuck). Lineage: Eukaryota; Metazoa; Chordata; Mammalia; Rodentia; Sciuridae. The record is from RNAcentral.